UACGUAGGGGGCUAGCGUUGUCCGGAAUCAUUGGGCGUAAAGAGCGUGUAGGCGGCCCGGUAAGUCCGCUGUAAAAGUCAAAGGCUCAACCUUUGAAUGUCAGUGGAUACUGCCAGGCUAGAGUCCGGAAGAGGCGAGUGGAACUCCUGGUGUAGCGGUGGAAUGCGCAGAUAUCAGGAGGAACACCAAUGGCGAAGGCAGAUCUCUGGGCCGUAACUGACGCUGAGGAGCGAAAGCAUGGGGAGCGAACAGG
This 253-nucleotide ribosomal RNA is filed under the name uncultured bacterium. Its description in RNAcentral is "partial 16S ribosomal RNA". It matches the Rfam family "Bacterial small subunit ribosomal RNA", at positions 524 to 776 of the family's 1533-position model. The record is from RNAcentral.